Molecule: long non-coding RNA, 311 nt
Filed under: Brachypodium distachyon (stiff brome)
Lineage: Eukaryota; Viridiplantae; Streptophyta; Magnoliopsida; Poales; Poaceae
Description: long non-coding RNA (BDIS_LNC005797)
Source: RNAcentral
AACACAUCCCUACAAAGGAAAAAAAUUGGAGCGAACGUUAGCUCCACUGUCUUCAAGCGCCGCAUGCUGUUGAGCUGAGAGUCUAUACUAAUAUAUUAAAUUAGAGUUGGUGGUGAUGGUACGGUCGUCGCGGUAUGUCAUUUCACCAAAAUUACGAAUCUGCCACCGUUGUCCCCACGCGCCUUUUAAUUCCGGCUCCCGUGGUUCUCAAGCGCAGAAAAAACACGUACUGUCCAAAAAAAAAGAACAACAAAGCCCUUCUCGCUCCUCCUAUCCUACGAAUCUCACCCCCACCCGAUCCGGAUCUCGCC